This 1377-nucleotide long non-coding RNA is filed under the name Rattus norvegicus (Norway rat). RNAcentral describes it as "long non-coding RNA NONRATT033018". Lineage: Eukaryota; Metazoa; Chordata; Mammalia; Rodentia; Muridae. The record is from RNAcentral.
CAGACUUGGUGGUGAACAUCUUUAAUCCCAGCUCAUAAGAAGUAGAGAGGCAGGCAGAUCUUGGCAAGUUUGAAGCCAGCCUGGUCUACAGAGUGAGUUCUAGGACAGCCACGGCUGUUACACAAAGAAACUCUGUCUUAAAACAGCAACCAAAAGAAGGUGGGUGUGGUGGUACAUGCCUUUAAUUCCAGCACUUGGAGCGUGGAUCUCUGUGAGCUUGAGGCCAGCCUGGUCUACAGAGUUAGUUCUAGGCCACCCAGAGCUCCACAGAGACUUUGUCUCAAAAAACAAACAAACAAACAAACAAACAAAUAAAUAAAAUGGAUUUUUAUCCCCUUUCAGUGGGCAGAGCAUCAGAAAUUGUAACCAAUCCAGAAUCUGUAAUUGAUACUUUAACUUUCAAUGUAACAUUUUGAUUUGUUUCUUUCUUUCUUUUUGCAGUGCUGAGAUUGAAUUUAGGGGCCUUGCACGUCUGGUCAAUCACUCCAGGACUGAUCUCCAUCCCUGUCUCUGGUUCUUGUAGUUCGCCGGUCUCACUGAGAAGCACAGUCUGCAGGGUCCCGAGUGGCCUUUCUGCCUCUGCCCUGUCCUCUCAGUGAUGGCAGCCUUGAAACUGUCUUCUGAGUUAUGGCAGCUACGCCCACAGGACUGGGUGACCCAGUGGGUCCUGGACAAUCUUCCUGUGGGUAUGCAGUCUUCGUUCUCCCAAAGCCUGGAGUCCUUGAGCAUCUCUCUUGCGGUAGAUGCCUCUGGAAGCUGCUUCUUCCACAAUGGCUGAAGGAAGUCUCCCCAGCGCCAAGCCACACUGCUCUGAAAGCCAUCCUUGAACGAAUGACCUGCUAAGAGUGCAGUUUUCGCUCCCUCUCUCCCGGACUUUGAUUUGAUCAGGCCAAAUCUGAAAUGAUGUGUGAAAGUAAUGAUAUUUGGUAAUUAAAUCUCUGGUGACGGCCACUGCAAUUUGUGCUACAUGCAUUGUUCAUAAGGAAAAAAAAAAACCCGCAUCAAUUCAUUUUCUGACCGGCUACUCCAGGGACUAGCAAUUAGGGGCUGCUCAUCGCUCUCGUCGCCUCGCAUAUUAAAGAGCUACUGAAACGCAAAGAGAAUUUGGGAGGGUUUCCCCCCUCCCAACCUUCUAAUAAUGUUAGCUUAAUUAGGGAGGUUCAGUGAUAAAGGGGCACUUUGUGAUGAUUUGAGCAAACCAAUGGUGGAGAGGAGAGAGUGAGCUAACAGGGAGGAAGGUUGGGGUGAGGUUUGGGGCUGUUCCACCCUGGGGCACCUGGUGGUGAGUAAGGACAAAGAGUUCUGGACAUCCCAGUGAAGUUCUGCUUCCUUCCCCACCUUGGGUCUUUUCCUUCCUUCCUUCCUUCUCCUCCUUCC